AGUGAACGCUGGCGGUAGGCCUAACACAUGCAAGUCGAACGGCACCACAGUAAGAGCUUGCUCUUACGGGUGGCGAGUGGGGGACGGGUGAGGAAUACAUCGGAAUCUACUUUUUCGUGGGGGAUAACGUAGGGAAACUUACUCUAAUACCGCAUACGACCUACGGGUGAAAGCAGGGGAUCUUCUGACCUUGCGCGAUUGUAUCAGCCUAUGGCGGAUUAGCUCGUUAGCGGGGUAAAGGCCCACCAAGGCGACGAUCCGUAGCUGGUCUGAGAGGAAGAACAGCCAGAUUGGAAGUGAGAAACAGUCCAGACACCUACGGUGAGCAACAGUGGGGACUAUUGGACAAUGGGGGAAAGCCUGAUCCAGCCAUACGGCGUGGAUGAAGAAGGACUUCGGGUUGUAGAGCCAUUUUGUCGGGAAAGAAAAGCAGCAGGUUAAUCCCCCGCGAUUCUGACGGUACCGGAAGAAUAAGCACCGGCUAACUUCGUG
This 492-nucleotide ribosomal RNA is filed under the name uncultured bacterium. RNAcentral describes it as "partial 16S ribosomal RNA". It matches the Rfam family "Bacterial small subunit ribosomal RNA", at positions 29 to 507 of the family's 1533-position model. The record is from RNAcentral.